CCCUCACACUGUUGGGGGCUAUUGGCAGGUGGUCGGUGGCUUUGGACAGAUCUAAUCCAGCCUUAUAUCCUGUGGGAUCUCAAAGCCUGUUAACAGAGAACAGGGCUAGUUCUGCUCAUCUCUGCCACCUGUGUCCUGCUCCUAGAGGUUUUCUAUUUGUGGAUAAACGCAAGAAGCAACAAGUUUGUGGUUCUGACUGGCCUGGGAGCAGCUCUUUCCAGAGAUACGGGUACCCAGACAGCAUUCGAGAGCUCAACCAGGUAUGUGUGAUCUGGACCCUGCAGGUCGCCUCCUCACAGGUUCUGACAGCGGAGAUGCCCGAGCCGCUGAGUUUGUUUUGUUUUGAACUGCAAUCCAGCAGAUCCCACGCUUUGCUCCAGGCUGGCUGGGCUGCUCUGCAGAUGAUCUUGCAAUGUUAUGACAGUCCAGAGAGCCAUUAUUCCGAGCGCUUGCCAAUCACCAGACUGCUGCCAGUCUGUGUCAAAUGAAGCAUCCCAGGCCCUGUCACAUUAAAUCCAGCAGCUCUUUCAUUUAGGGUAGAGCAGUUUGUUUAUUUGUGUUCCCUCCCCUCCUUUUGGGAUGCCAUACUCAAUCAUCUCAGGGGUUUGCUCUGCCUGUACGGAGCCUGUAACCACAGCGAAACUCAGUGCCCCUUAAAGGGCCCCUCGUCCUGGGGCAAGCGAUGCUGUUGAGUGUUUUGCUGUGGUUUUGUUUUGGAAAGAGAUGGGUGUAAAUAAGGGGGAAGGCGCAGAACACUGGUGUGGCUGGGAGCGCUGUUCCAGAUCCGUCCUCGUCAGCCAGUCGCACCAGUUCAAGGGCAGGUUGCCUCAGCCCGAUGAAUUGCGCAGCUGCUGUGUUCUGUUGUAAACGAGAAUAAAAGGUGCGGAGUAGCGUCACAUCUGUUUGCACCAGUCAAGGCUGUGCAGCACUUCUAUGCCUCAGUUUCCCUGCUUUGAGGGAGGAGUGGGGAGUAACCCACUCUCUGGAAAGGGGAAGAUCAAGCCAUCUGGAGCGGGGGCUUCUCGACUCUGCUGCUGCUCAGGCAGAAGUGACUCAAAUGGUCCAGUUCAUGCAGGAACUGAUGGUGGAGGCUGUGGAGAAAGGUCUGUACAGAAUGGAGAAAAGAAGGGAAAAAUGGUGAUGAGCUGGCUGGAAAUGAAUACAGGGAUGGAUCAGGAUACUGCACGCAGUAUUCCUCAGUCAUCAGUUCAGAUUACCCUGGCCCUGCAGGAAAGCCUCUUGAAUCAAGUCUCUCUAUGUAGAGGAUGUGAAGCCUGGUCAGCUUCUAUUACCUUCUUAGCUUGGGAGAACAGGAAAAAGAUAUUUAUUCUUUUAUUCAUUUAUUCAUUUAUAAUGCAUCUGCUGUAAGAGGUGGUUCAUUUCUUGUCAUUACUUGCUUUGGUGUUUAAAUUGCUUCCUGUAGGAUUUGAAUUCAGAUGUUAUGAUGGUUUUUUUUCCCUUUACAAGAAUUAAAAGCAAAUGCACAGUUAAAAAACAGAGUUCCAGGGCUUCCAAUCAUUUGACAGAAUGAAGUCUGCAAGCCAAAUUAACUGCGCUUCCUCAUUACUGUUGUCACUUUGUGUGCUGCCUGAAUGCUCUUGAA
Columba livia (rock pigeon) is the source of this 1603-nucleotide long non-coding RNA. RefSeq lists it as uncharacterized. The record is from RefSeq and is a predicted model, not a curated record. Lineage: Eukaryota; Metazoa; Chordata; Aves; Columbiformes; Columbidae. The transcript has 3 exons.